UUAAUUGUUCAUAAUGUCAAUCGACUUUUUUACGCGAAAGCAAACAUUGGUGAUGUCAGCCCGGUUACUCAGUUGAUCACACUUCUGAAUGGCCACUAGCUCUACUCAUAAGACACAUUUUAUUUUUGGAACUACAUCGGUCCACUAAGGAGUAAAACCUUCCUACCAAAUGCAGCUGCGUUCACAGGGCUCAAAAUGAGACCUCUAGUUAGGCAGUAUAGUGUCGAACUGCUAAGCUAUGCCCUAUAGUGGUGUAAAAUUGAGUGAUUAGCAGAGUAUUUUUUUUUUUUACUAGCUUUACUCAUCAUCAACAUUUUAUUCUUUGAGCCAAAUCGGUCCACUAAGGAGUAAGCUCUCCCUACCAAAGGCAGCUGC
RNAcentral lists this long non-coding RNA (375 nucleotides) under Carica papaya (papaya). RNAcentral describes it as "long non-coding RNA (CPAP_LNC001389)". Lineage: Eukaryota; Viridiplantae; Streptophyta; Magnoliopsida; Brassicales; Caricaceae. The record is from RNAcentral.